GCGGGUGUGGCGGAACUGGCAGACGCGCACGGUUCAGGUCCGUGUGGGGGCGACUCCGUGGAGGUUCGAAUCCUCUCACCCGCACCA
Molecule: transfer RNA, 87 nt
Filed under: Berryella wangjianweii
Lineage: Bacteria; Bacillati; Actinomycetota; Coriobacteriia; Eggerthellales; Eggerthellaceae
Also listed under: 1 other name
Description: Eggerthellaceae bacterium zg-1050 tRNA-Leu
Rfam family: tRNA
About the family: Transfer RNA (tRNA) molecules are approximately 80 nucleotides in length. Their secondary structure includes four short double-helical elements and three loops (D, anti-codon, and T loops).
Source: RNAcentral